This 24-nucleotide non-coding RNA is filed under the name Arabidopsis thaliana (thale cress). Lineage: Eukaryota; Viridiplantae; Streptophyta; Magnoliopsida; Brassicales; Brassicaceae. The record is from RNAcentral.
AAUCGGAUAUCCACGGGUUUACUA